UCUACGGAGCAGCAGAGGAUCUAUGGAUGCAGCAGUCGUAUAUACACAGUCGCGCAGCAUGAUCCAGCCACGCUGCGUGAGUGAUGAAGCAGUAGAUGUAUAGCUCGUCACACGCGCGAUAAUGACGUACUUCAGAGCGCACAGCUACUACG
RNAcentral lists this ribosomal RNA (152 nucleotides) under uncultured delta proteobacterium. RNAcentral's name for it is "partial 16S ribosomal RNA". The record is from RNAcentral. Lineage: Bacteria; Deltaproteobacteria.